This 879-nucleotide ribosomal RNA is filed under the name Phaeostalagmus cyclosporus. Its description in RNAcentral is "LSU rRNA". It matches the Rfam family "Eukaryotic large subunit ribosomal RNA", at positions 74 to 980 of the family's 3401-position model. Lineage: Eukaryota; Fungi; Ascomycota; Sordariomycetes; Chaetosphaeriales; Chaetosphaeriaceae. The record is from RNAcentral.
AUUGCCUCAGUAACGCGCGAGUGAAGCGCGCAACAGCUCAAAUUUGAAAUCUGGCCCCAGGCCCGAGUUGUAAUUUGCAGAGGAUGCUUCGGACGCGGCGCCUUCCAAGUCCCCUGGAACGGGGCGCCAUGGAGGGUGAGAGCCCCGUACGGUCGGACGCCAAGUCUAUGUGAAGCUCCUUCGACGAGUCGAGUAGUUUGGGAAUGCUGCUCUAAAUGGGAGGUAGACCCCUUCUAAAGCUAAAUACCGGCUGGAGACCGAUAGCGCACAAGUAGAGUGAUCGAAAGAUGAAAAGAACUUUGAAAAGAGGGUUAAACAGCACGUGAAAUUGUUGAAAGGGAAGCGCUUGUGACCAGACUUGCGCCGAGGCGAUCAUCCGGCGUUCUCGCCGGUGCACUCGCCUCGGCCCAGGCCAGCGUCGGUUCGGGAGGGGGGACAAGGACGCCGGGGACGUGGCUCCCCCGGGAGUGUUACAGCCCGGCGUGUCAUGCCCCCAUCCGGACCGAGGUUCGCGCUCUGCAAGGACGCUGGCGUAAUGGUCACCAGCGGCCCGUCUUGAAACACGGACCAAGGAGUCGAGGUUCUGCGCGAGUGUCUGGGUGCCAAACCCGCACGCGCAAUGAAAGUGAACGUAGGUGGGAGCCUCGGCGCACCACCGACCGAUCCUGAUGUUCUCGGAUGGAUUUGAGUACGAGCGUUGGGCCUCGGACCCGAAAGAUGGGUGAACUAUGCUUGGAUAGGGUGAAGCCAGAGGAAACUCUGGUGGAGGCUCGCAGCGGUUCUGACGUGCAAAUCGAUCGUCAAAUCUGAGCAUGGGGGGCGAAAGACUAAUCGAACUAUCUAGUAGCUGGUUACUCGCCGAAGUUUCCCUUCAGGAAA